AUUCCACAACAUGGAGAAAAAGGAGAAACACCUCUCGCCGCACUGGGUGCUCUGACCCUCUUGAAUUUCCUUGGGGAAAACAGACUAUAGACUGUCAAAGGCCUGGAUUACCAUCAUAUGCCAUUUCCCUGUCACAAUGACACCUCCUCCUGAAGAGUUUAUAUUUGUUCACUUCACCUCUGGGACCAGGCAUCUCUGGAAAGUGAUAGCAUCAAGGAUUCAAGCAGUCCCAGCAAGUAUCCAACAUGGGCAUUCUUGCCACAAUGGAUCUGUCACCCUGCUCUGGUCCGGCCUCUCCAUCACUGCAGUGGGGCCGCUGCGUGCCUCACUGCUGUCCAUUGCUGUGCUCCUGGAUGCUACCAUUCUCAAGGUCUCUUCUCAGCUGAUAACAACUCUUCUGGGAACUCUGGUCUGGGCCCACAGUCUCAGACUGUACUACCACAGGGGAAC
Molecule: long non-coding RNA, 450 nt
Filed under: Fukomys damarensis (Damara mole-rat)
Lineage: Eukaryota; Metazoa; Chordata; Mammalia; Rodentia; Bathyergidae
Description: lncRNA (ENSFDAG00000027707.1)
Source: RNAcentral